Molecule: ribosomal RNA, 695 nt
Filed under: uncultured bacterium
Lineage: Bacteria
Description: bacterial SSU rRNA
Rfam family: Bacterial small subunit ribosomal RNA
Source: RNAcentral
GGGACAACAGUUGGAAACGACUGCUAAUACCGCAUAAGCCCACGACCCGGCAUCGGGUAGAGGGAAAAGGAGCAAUCCGCUUUGAGAUGGCCUCGCGUCCGAUUAGCUAGUUGGUGAGGUAACGGCCCACCAAGGCGACGAUCGGUAGCCGGACUGAGAGGUUGAACGGCCACAUUGGGACUGAGACACGGCCCAGACUCCUACGGGAGGCAGCAGUGGGGAAUAUUGCACAAUGGGGGAAACCCUGAUGCAGCGACGCCGCGUGGAGGAAGAAGGUCUUCGGAUUGUAAACUCCUGUUGUUGAGGAAGAUAAUGACGGUACUCAACAAGGAAGUGACGGCUAACUACGUGCCAGCAGCCGCGGUAAAACGUAGGUCACAAGCGUUGUCCGGAAUUACUGGGUGUAAAGGGAGCGCAGGCGGGAAGACAAGUUGGAAGUGAAAUCCAUGGGCUCAACCCAUGAACUGCUUUCAAAACUGUUUUUCUUGAGUAGUGCAGAGGUAGGCGGAAUUCCCGGUGUAGCGGUGGAAUGCGUAGAUAUCGGGAGGAACACCAGUGGCGAAGGCGGCCUACUGGGCACCAACUGACGCUGAGGCUCGAAAGUGUGGGUAGCAAACAGGAUUAGAUACCCUGGUAGUCCACACUGUAAACGAUGAUUACUAGGUGUUGGAGGAUUGACCCCUUCAGUGCCGCAG